Molecule: ribosomal RNA, 418 nt
Filed under: uncultured bacterium
Lineage: Bacteria
Description: bacterial SSU rRNA
Rfam family: Bacterial small subunit ribosomal RNA
Source: RNAcentral
UGGGGAAUUUUGGACAAUGGGCGCAAGCCUGAUCCAGCCAUGCCGCGUGCAGGAUGAAGGCCUUCGGGUUGUAAACUGCUUUUGUACGGAACGAAAAGGUGCCUUCUAAUAAAGGGCGCUCAUGACGGUACCGUAAGAAUAAGCACCGGCUAACUACGUGCCAGCAGCCGCGGUAAUACGUAGGGUGCGAGCGUUAAUCGGAAUUACUGGGCGUAAAGCGUGCGCAGGCGGUUUUGUAAGACAGAGGUGAAAUCCCCGGGCUCAACCUGGGAACUGCCUUUGCGACUGCAAUGCUGGAGUGCGGCAGAGGUGGAUGGAAUACCGCGUGUAGCGGUGAAAUGCGUAGAGAUGCGGAGGAACACCGAUGGCGAAGGCGAUCCCCUGGGCCUGCACUGACGCUCAUGCACGAAAGCGUGGG